This is a non-coding RNA of Pelobates cultripes (western spadefoot toad), 270 nucleotides long. The record is from the annotation of a GenBank genome assembly. NCBI's taxonomy places the organism in Eukaryota, Metazoa, Chordata, Amphibia, Anura, Pelobatidae.
GGGAGGGAGUGACUAGUGACAGAGUGAGGGAGUGGGUGACACAGUGACAGAGUUAGGGAGGGAGUGACUAGUGACAGAGAGAGGGAUGGGGUGACUAGUGACAGUCACCCCCUCCCUCUGUCACUAGUCACUCCCUCCCUCUCUCUGUUACUAGUCACUCCCUCACUCUGUCACCAGUCAUCCCCUCACUCUGUCACCAGUCAUCCCCUCACUCUGUCACCAGUCACCCCUUCCCUCCCUCACUCUGCCACUAGUCAUUUUUUCCCUCCC